UUGGCAUUUAGGAUGAUCUUGGAGAUGAUCGAAUUUGAUCGAUGUUGAUCGAUCUAGAGAUGGUCAGAUCUCAUCGACAUCUAGCCAAUCUGAAGAUGAUCAGAUCUGAUUGACACUUGGCUAAUUUAGAGGUAGUCUGAUCUAAUCGACAUCAGUCGAUCUACAAAUGAUUGGCCUAGAUCUAAUCAACAUCUAGCUGAUCUAGAGAUAGAUCUGAUCAGCAUCGGCCGAACUGAGAUGAUUGGACCUAACCAACAUUUGGGUCGAUCUGAUCUUUAGGAACUUGGUGGUGUUGGAGUGAUGCCAUAAAGUUCCUCUUAUUGGAUGCUUGCUCCUUUCCAUAAAUGGGCCUGGGA
Molecule: long non-coding RNA, 356 nt
Filed under: Elaeis guineensis (African oil palm)
Lineage: Eukaryota; Viridiplantae; Streptophyta; Magnoliopsida; Arecales; Arecaceae
Description: long non-coding RNA (EGUI_LNC047988)
Source: RNAcentral